UAAUUAAAACUUGUAGUUUAUAUCUAUGUGUAGAAGAACAUGAAAAAAUGCAGUCGCGUGAUUGUCGUUUAUGCUCCUGAAGAAGUCGCCAAUUUUUAACUACUUACGCUAAGUCGUAAUUCGAUGAUUGAAAUAAAAAUUGUGUGUGUUUGAACAUAUGAUACUGAAAAUUAUUACAUUAAAAGCUUCCAAGAUGUUAAAACACAACGCGAUGUAGAGUUGCCACCUUUUUGGGUUUGGACCAAAAACUCGAUUUUGAAGAUUUAUGUCCGAGUUUGGGUUUCAUUACUUCUCCAGGUUGCAUAAAAUGUAAAACGUCUUAUGUAGUUUGUAAUGAAAAAAAUUCCCUGAAUGUACGGCAUUGGAAAAAAACUAAGAAGGGCGUUUCGAAUAAGACGUAUACAUUACGAUGUUAUAUUUAUCGAUGAACUGUUAAGAAUUUUAUAAAUUUAUUAAGAAAUUUGAAAAUAUGGAGCUUGUUAAAACUGCAAAUAUUUAUGGAAGUAAAGCCAAUAAAAAUAAUAAUUUAUAUAUUUAUUAUGCAAUCGUCUUCAU
This is a long non-coding RNA of Trachymyrmex septentrionalis, 555 nucleotides long. RefSeq lists it as uncharacterized. The record is from RefSeq and is a predicted model, not a curated record. The transcript has 3 exons. Lineage: Eukaryota; Metazoa; Arthropoda; Insecta; Hymenoptera; Formicidae.